GAAAUGCGAUAAGUAGUGUGAAUUGCAGAAUUCAGUGAAUCAUCGAAUCUUUGAACGCACAUUGCGCCCCUCGGUAUUCCGUGGGGCAUGCCUGUUCGAGCGUCAUCUACACCCUCAGAACCCCUUGCGGGAUCUGGCGUUGGGGAUUGGCAUCCAGCCAGCCCCGAAAUCUAGUGGCGGUCCCUCCGCGACCUCCCCUGUGCAGUAGCGAUACCUCGCAGCGGGACAGCGGUCUGACCACGCCGUAAAACCCCCAACUUCUCAAGGUUGACCUCGAAUCAGGUAGGAAUACCCGCUGGACUUAAGC
Molecule: unclassified non-coding RNA, 307 nt
Filed under: plant metagenome
Description: partial contains 5.8S ribosomal RNA, internal transcribed spacer 2, and large subunit ribosomal RNA
Rfam family: 5.8S ribosomal RNA (bases 1-105)
Source: RNAcentral